This 120-nucleotide ribosomal RNA is filed under the name Leifsonia rubra CMS 76R. The record is from RNAcentral. Lineage: Bacteria; Bacillati; Actinomycetota; Actinomycetes; Micrococcales; Microbacteriaceae.
GUUUCGGCGGCCAUAGCGAGAGGGAAACGCCCGGUCACAUUCCGAACCCGGAAGCUAAGACUCUCUGCGCCGAUGGUACUGCAAGGGGGACCUUGUGGGAGAGUAGGACACCGCCGGACU